This 253-nucleotide ribosomal RNA is filed under the name uncultured bacterium. RNAcentral's name for it is "partial 16S ribosomal RNA". It matches the Rfam family "Bacterial small subunit ribosomal RNA", at positions 524 to 773 of the family's 1533-position model. The record is from RNAcentral.
UACAUACUGUGCGAACGUUAUUCGGAUUCACUGGGCUUAAAGGGUGCGUAGGUGGCAUGUUAAGUAGGGCGUGAAAAUCCCCCAGCUCAACUGGGGAACGUGCGUUCUAAACUAGGUGUGCUAGAGUGAGAUAGGGGUGUCCGGAACUGCCAGUGGAGCGGUGAAAUGUGUUGAUAUUGGCAGGAACGCCGGUGGCGAAAGCGGGACACUGGGUCUCAACUGACACUGAGGUGCGAAAGCUAGGGGAGCGAAC